GGUUCUAGUUAGAAACUCUAGGUUUCUAGAAAGGUUAGGGUUGUAGAAUGUUAGACAAAUCAUGAUAAUCCAUGCUAUAUAAUGAAUAUGUUCUUGCUCUUAUUGACUUCCAUGAACAUGUGCUUUGUUGUGUUCUUAUAUUGGUUACGAUAACAUGAUUUGUUAUGGUUGUGGUGGAAUAAUAGACUUCCAUGAACAUGUGCUUUGUUGUGUUCUUAUAUUGGUUACGAUAACAUGAUUUGUUAUGGUUGUGGUGGAAUAAUUGGUUGUGAUUAUGACCUUGAAAAUCCUUGUGGUUGUGAGCUUGAAAUCCUUGAUUUAUAUGUGUAUGAGAACAUUUAAUAUGAUGGGUUGUUGUUGGAAGAAGUAGUGGUUGUCAUACCCCGAUUUUGGCCCUGAAAAUUUUUCCCCAUCAAUCACUCGUUUGCAUUCUUUCUUCAUUCACCUUCAUAUCCUUCAUUCAUGUUCAUGUUUACUAUUUCAUAUUUUCUAUGUUUUUCACAUUCCAAAUUUACAUUCAUAUUUUCUUCAUUCACAUUGAAAAAAUUCCAUUCAUAUUCAAGAAUUUCCACAUACUCAUUCAUAGUUCGAUUCCUUCGUUCAUUCAUUCAAUCAUAAUCAUCUAUGUACAUCGCAUAUGAAUAACUUAUAAAAAAAAC
Molecule: long non-coding RNA, 659 nt
Filed under: Lathyrus oleraceus (garden pea)
Lineage: Eukaryota; Viridiplantae; Streptophyta; Magnoliopsida; Fabales; Fabaceae
Description: Pisum sativum (pea) long non-coding RNA (PSAT_LNC036425)
Source: RNAcentral